RNAcentral lists this ribosomal RNA (1740 nucleotides) under Curtobacterium flaccumfaciens. RNAcentral's name for it is "partial 16S ribosomal RNA". The stretch from base 290 to 1740 matches the Rfam family "Bacterial small subunit ribosomal RNA". Lineage: Bacteria; Bacillati; Actinomycetota; Actinomycetes; Micrococcales; Microbacteriaceae. The record is from RNAcentral.
GGGGGGGGGGGGGGGGGGGUUUUUUGGGGGGGGGGGGGCGCCGGUGUUGGGGGGGUUGCCGCCCGGGGGGAGGGGGGGGGGGGGGGGGGGGGGGGGUUAAAAAUAAUUGGGAAGAGAAAAAAGGAUAAACGCACCCAGGAAAAAAAGGUUAAAAGGGGGAAAAAAGAAGGGGGAAAAAAGGGGGGGGGGGGGGGGGGGCGGGGGGGGGGGGGGGGGGGGGGGGGGGUUUUCUUUUUUUGUAAUCUCUAUUUUUUUUUUUUUCCUUUCCCAACCCCCCCCAGGGGAAACGCCUUUGAAUGUACCCCCAAAAAAGAACGGGCGGUCUCCCACCGAAUGGAAAGGGCCCCCCCGUUUGGGGGGAUAAUGCCAACGGGGGUAAAACCGGAAAACCUGCCCUUUUUUGGGUAAAGGGUGGAAACACCUUCAAUCCUGAAUAGUCCCCGCACCCAUGUCUGUGGUGAAAAAAUUUUUGGUUGGGAAAGAACUCCGGCCUAUCAGCUUGUUGUGAAGUAAGGCUCACCAAGGGGAUACGGGUACCCGCCUGAGAGGUGACCGGCCACACUGGGACUGAGACACGGCCCAGAUUCCUACGGGAGGCAGCAGUGGGGAAUAUUGCCCAAUGGGCGAAAGCCUGAUGCAGCAACGCCGCGUGAGGGAUGACGGCCUUCCGGGUUGUAAACCUUCUUUUAGUAGGGAAAGAAGCGAAAGUGACGGUACCUGCAGAAAAAGCACCGGCUAACUACGUGCCAGCAGCCGCGGUAAUACGUAGGGUGCAAGCGUUGUCCGGAAUUAUUGGGCGUAAAGAGCUCGUAGGCGGUUUGUCGCGUCUGCUGUGAAAUCCCGAGGCUCAACCUCGGGCUUGCAGUGGGUACGGGCAGACUAGAGUGCGGUAGGGGAGAUUGGAAUUCCUGGUGUAGCGGUGGAAUGCGCAGAUAUCAGGAGGAACACCGAUGGCGAAGGCAGAUCUCUGGGCCGUAACUGACGCUGAGGAGCGAAAGCAUGGGGAGCGAACAGGAUUAGAUACCCUGGUAGUCCAUGCCGUAAACGUUGGGCGCUAGAUGUAGGGACCUUUCCACGGUUUCUGUGUCGUAGCUAACGCAUUAAGCGCCCCGCCUGGGGAGUACGGCCGCAAGGCUAAAACUCAAAGGAAUUGACGGGGGCCCGCACAAGCGGCGGAGCAUGCGGAUUAAUUCGAUGCAACGCGAAGAACCUUACCAAGGCUUGACAUACACCGGAAACGGCCAGAGAUGGUCGCCCCCUUGUGGUCGGUGUACAGGUGGUGCAUGGUUGUCGUCAGCUCGUGUCGUGAGAUGUUGGGUUAAGUCCCGCAACGAGCGCAACCCUCGUUCUAUGUUGCCAGCGGGUUAUGCCGGGGACUCAUAGGAGACUGCCGGGGUCAACUCGGAGGAAGGUGGGGAUGACGUCAAAUCAUCAUGCCCCUUAUGUCUUGGGCUUCACGCAUGCUACAAUGGCCGGUACAAAGGGCUGCGAUACCGUAAGGUGGAGCGAAUCCCAAAAAGCCGGUCUCAGUUCGGAUUGAGGUCUGCAACUCGACCUCAUGAAGUCGGAGUCGCUAGUAAUCGCAGAUCAGCAACGCUGCGGUGAAUACGUUCCCGGGCCUUGUACACACCGCCCGUCAAGUCAUGAAAGUCGGUAACACCCGAAGCCGGUGGCCUAACCCUUGUGGAAGGAGCCGUCGAAGGUGGGAUCGGUGAUUAGGACUAAGUCGUAAUCAAGGGA